AUCUCUAGAUGCAACAUAAAACACUAAAGUACUAAAAGUUAUAAACUCCAAAUUUUAAGGAUUUGGCGGUGAUUUAGUCCAGUUAGAGGAACCUGUUUGAUAAACGAUAAACCACGCAGAAUCUUACCUGUUUUCAAAAUUUGUAUACCGUCAUUAUUAGAUGACUCUUAGAAGAAAAGUCAUUUCAAUAAAUAAAACACUUAAUAUAUUAGAUCAAGGUGCAGUUAAUAUUCAGGUCAAAAUGGGUUACAAUAAAACUUAUUUAUACGGUAUAAGAGGUCGAAAUACCUCUUUCAAGGAGGAUUUAAUAGUAACUCAAGUUUAAUAAGCUAGUUUGAUAAAGGACCUAGAUUGAGUACAUAUCGCCCGUCGCUUUCAUCCAAAAAUGAAAUAAGUCGUAACAUAG
This 406-nucleotide ribosomal RNA is filed under the name Neocallichirus mericeae. RNAcentral's name for it is "partial small subunit ribosomal RNA". It matches the Rfam family "Microsporidia small subunit ribosomal RNA", at positions 752 to 1279 of the family's 1311-position model. The record is from RNAcentral. Lineage: Eukaryota; Metazoa; Arthropoda; Malacostraca; Decapoda; Callianassidae.